Molecule: ribosomal RNA, 2121 nt
Filed under: Raiarctus sp. SF-2015
Lineage: Eukaryota; Metazoa; Tardigrada; Heterotardigrada; Arthrotardigrada; Styraconyxidae
Description: partial 28S ribosomal RNA
Rfam family: Eukaryotic large subunit ribosomal RNA
Source: RNAcentral
CCGGCAUCCCGNAAGGGCUGUCGGCGUUGUGGCGUGGAGAAGGUGANGUCCGGNAGCGUCUGACGCGUGUAAGUCUCCCUGAGCGGGGCANCNUCCCAUGGAGGGUGGUAGGCCCGUAUCACGNGCGGCGUACUGUCGGUNUACNCCUUCGUAGAGUCGGGUUGUUUGAGAGUGCAACCCUAAGCCGGUGGUAUACUCCAUCGAAGGCUAAAUAUAANCNCGAGACCGAUAGCGAACAAGUACCAUGAGGGAAAAUUGAAAAGCACUUUGAAGAGAGAGCGAAAUAGUGCGUGAAACCGCUCAGAGGCAAGCGGAUGGGCCCUCGAAGAUAUCGUNCAGGCUUCAGCCANGUGNANNGCUACAUCCCUGAGUGNANUGUGACCGGGCAACCGNCGCAUGCGUUUAGGUGCAUCNGNUUUAGCUGAGCCNUGGUGUANUUGCCUGUUCGGAACGCCACCAUUGCUGNNGCGAUUAUGUGCCCGGUNCGGCUCGUGGACUUUNNGCCGAGUGCNNUUGCNNUUAGNGGANAUGCUCUNGAGUUAACCGUNAACCGGAUAAANUAACGCGGCAUANGCUAGNAAACCNGGGNNANGGUGCUUCUGCUGUGACUGCGCCGGCUAGCCUUGCGCUCACGNCGCGCGCUUGCAAUGCUGAGUUCCUUGUGGNCUCGAGUUGCNGCGCGUAUCAAGGUGUGANUACGCUUGNGUGNUCGGCAAUNGAAGUNNNNAAAGCCCGGUGGCGAGUAGAUGGUUUCCCANCCGACCCGUCUNGAAACACGGACCAAGGAGUGCAUGAUGCAUGCANGUCGCAGGGUGUUUGGUAUACCCGAAGGCUUAGUGAAAGCGAGCGGUACGGUUCGGCCGUGCCAGCCUAGGCGAGAUCNNUGCCUUGUAANAGAGGUAUGGCGCAUNGCCAGCCCGUGCUAUGGCCAUGUGUCUUGCACGGAGCUAAAGCAUGCACGAUGCGACCCGAAAGAUGGUGAACUAUGCGUGUACAGGAUGAAGCUAGGCGAAAGCCUGGUGGAGGUCCGCAGCGAUUCUGACGUGCAAAUCGAUCGUCUGAUAUGCGUNUAGGGGCGAAAGACUAAUCGAACCAUCUAAUAGCUGGUUCCCUCCGAAGUAUCCCUCAGGAUAGCAGGCGCUCGUGANGCGCAGUCUCUCCCGGUAAAGCGAAUGAUUAGUGGUCUUGGGNAUGAAACGUNCUCAACCAAUUCUCAAACUUUAAAUGGGUGAGAUGGCUGGCCUACUUGAGUGAGGUCCGGCCGCAAACAUCUCGGAUGGCUGAGUGCCUAGUGGGCCAUUUUUGGUAAGCAGAACUGGCGCUGUGGGAUGUACCGAACGUUGAGUUACGGUGCCCGAGUGAGACGCUCAUCAGAACCCAUAAAAGGUGUUGGUUGCUAUAGACAGCAGGACGGUGGCCAUGGAAGUUGGAAUCCGCUAAGGAGUGUGUAACAACUCACCUGCCGAAGCAACUAGCCCUGAAAAUGGAUGGCGCUAGAGCGUCCCACCUAUACUCGACCGUUGCGGCACCGAUUAGUGUCCGCGUGUAACCCGCGCGGAUUNCUAUUUGGUCGGCAAAUUAUUCCGCAACGAGUAGGAGGUGCGCGGCGGUAUGCGUCGAAGGGUUUGCGGCGUGAGCCGGCCUGGAGCUGCCGUCGGUGCAGAUCUUGGUGGUAGUAGCAAAUACAGAAGCGAGAACCUUCUGGACCGAUGUGGGGAAAGGUUCCAUGUGAACAGCAGUUGAACAUGGGUCAGUCGAUCCUAAGGAAUCGGCGAAAGCCGUUCAGACGCGGUGUGUGCUACAACCAUCGUUGCAGCCGGACUCGUGCCGGUUGUGGCGUGGGAUCGUGUGCGUUCUUGCGUGCGCGAUCGCCGCACCUUCCGAAAGGGAAUCGGGUUAAUAUUCCCGAACCCGGCAACGGAGACUGGUUGUCCGUAUGGUGGUCGGUGUUCGUCGUCCGUACGGCUGCUUGCAGUUUGUGCGGCGCGACCCGGCUGCUGGGGCAAUUCAAUGCGGUAACGCAAAUGAACUCGGAGACGCUGGCCGACACCCUGGGAAGAGUUGUCUUUUCUUCAUAAGGGGUCGCCUCCCUGGAAACGGUUUAGCCGGAGAUAGGGAGAU